UACGAAGGGUGCAAGCGUUACUCGGAAUCACUGGGCGUAAAGCGUGCGUAGGCGGUUUCUUAAGUCUGUCGUGAAAGCCCUGGGCUCAACCUGGGAACGGCGAUGGAUACUGGGAGGCUAGAGUGUGAUAGAGGAUGGUGGAAUUCCCGGUGUAGCGGUGAAAUGCGUAGAGAUCGGGAGGAACACCAGUGGCGAAGGCGGCCAUCUGGAUCAACACUGACGCUGAGGCACGAAAGCGUGGGGAGCAAACAGG
Molecule: ribosomal RNA, 253 nt
Filed under: Tahibacter sp.
Lineage: Bacteria; Pseudomonadati; Pseudomonadota; Gammaproteobacteria; Lysobacterales; Rhodanobacteraceae
Also listed under: 1 other name
Description: partial 16S ribosomal RNA
Rfam family: Bacterial small subunit ribosomal RNA
Source: RNAcentral